GACGAACGCUGGCGGCGUGCUUAACACAUGCAAGUCGAACGGUUGUAGCAAUACAGCAGUGGCAGACGGGUGAGUAACACGUGGGAACCUUCCUAGGGGUACGGAACAACUCAGGGAAACUUGAGCUAAUACCGUAUACGUCCGUGAGGAGAAAGAUUUAUCGCCCUUAGACGGGCCCGCGUCGGAUUAGCUAGUUGGUGGGGUAACGGCCUACCAAGGCGACGAUCCGUAGCUGAUCUUAGAGGAUGAUCAGCCACACUGGGACUGAGACACGGCCCAGACUCCUACGGGAGGCAGCAGUGGGGAAUCUUGGACAAUGGGCGCAAGCCUGAUCCAGCCAUGCCGCGUGAGUGAAGAAGGUCUACGGAUUGUAAAGCUCUUUUGCCAGGGACGAUAAUGACGGUACCUGGAGAAUAAGCCCCGGCAAACUUCGUGCCAGCCGCCGCAGUAA
Molecule: ribosomal RNA, 451 nt
Filed under: uncultured bacterium
Lineage: Bacteria
Description: partial 16S ribosomal RNA
Rfam family: Bacterial small subunit ribosomal RNA
Source: RNAcentral